This 466-nucleotide ribosomal RNA is filed under the name uncultured bacterium. RNAcentral's name for it is "partial 16S ribosomal RNA". It matches the Rfam family "Bacterial small subunit ribosomal RNA", at positions 28 to 507 of the family's 1533-position model. The record is from RNAcentral.
GAUGAACGCUGGCGGCGUGCUUAACACAUGCAAGUCGAACGGAAAGGCCCAAGCUUGCUUGGGUACUCGAGUGGCGAACGGGUGAGUAACACGUGGGUGAUCUGCCCUGCACUUCGGGAUAAGCCUGGGAAACUGGGUCUAAUACCGGAUAGGACCACAUUUUGGAUGGUGUGGUGGAAAGUUUUUCGGUGUGGGAUGAGCUCGCGGCCUAUCAGCUUGUUGGUGGGGUAAUGGCCUACCAAGGCGUCGACGGGUAGCCGGCCUGAGAGGGUGUACGGCCACAUUGGGACUGAGAUACGGCCCAGACUCCUACGGGAGGCAGCGGUGGGGAAUAUAGCACAAUGGGCGCAAGCCUGAUGCAGCGACGCCGCGUGGGGGAUGACGGCCUUCGGGUUGUAAACUCCUUUCGCUAGGGACGAAGCGUUAUGUGACGGUACCUGGAGAAGAAGCACCGGCUAACUACGUG